Long non-coding RNA from Physeter macrocephalus (sperm whale), 1327 nucleotides. RefSeq lists it as uncharacterized. NCBI's taxonomy places the organism in Eukaryota, Metazoa, Chordata, Mammalia, Artiodactyla, Physeteridae. The record is from RefSeq and is a predicted model, not a curated record. The transcript is spliced from 3 exons.
GUUGGCUCACCUGCCCCACUGUCCUUGUGCAAUGAAGUUCUCAGGGAAUGUCAAAGCCGCAGGGGGAGGAGCAUUUGGGGUGAAGUGGGCAGAGCACAGGCUUGGGCGUCAGGAGACCUGAGUUCUAGCCCCAGCCUCCUCCCCAGUUGUUGGAUGACCUCAGACAAAUCUCUGAGCCUCAGCUGUCUACUCAUUCUGAGGGGGGUUGGAUGAAAUUAUUCUGGAAAUAUAAUAAUGAAUGUCAGUUCAGCCCUGACACACCUCUUUUUUCUGUGUGUGUGUUGGGCUCCUGCUAGAGGGGAGGUGGGGAGCAGAGGCUUUGUUGGGGGUGAGAGAACAGAGAGCCCGCUGCCCCUUGGUCCCUCUCAGGGGCCUACAAGCCAGGGUUUCCCUCUCAUUCUCCAGGGGAUGGACUGGACUGCACAUCUUGGAGCACAGGUGAGAGCAGUGGCUAAACUUCUGGCCUGACAAACACGUAACACACCAUUGGUGGUAAGAACAGUUUCUGUGUUUUAGUGUUUUCUCUGUUCCAGAUCCUGUACUAAAUAUGUUAUAUGUAUUGUCUUAUUUAUUUUUCAUUAGAACUCUCUCAGAUGGGUAGUAUACACAUCUUUAAUUUUGUUAAGAGAUUGAAGCCAUGAAAGCUUCACUUAAUCACCCAAAGACACACAGAAGAAAGCCCACCAGGGCUGUUCCCAAAUGUGUAUGGAGUUGUGAAUCCCUGCAGCAGAAGGAGAUGUGCAGCUCAGACCCCUUUCAAGAAGCAACUCGCCACCCAGCUUCGAGGAGUGUGCUAGCUGAUCACGGACAGUGAGCGCUUCUCAGCCACAACCUGGAUAUUGAAUAAGGUAGGAGGAUGAGUAACCUUUCAAAGAAAGGCUUUAUGAUCAUUUCGUCUGACCUGAACCAGACAUCAUGUUCACGGCGGGAAUUCCAGGGGAACAGAAUUUCUCAAGCCAAAGUGUAGAAUCAAAGAUAAUGCAGAUCUGGGGAGAAGAUGAGAAGAAGUCAACUAUGAACUGAUGCUCCGCAAAUUGCCAAGUGAGCCAUUGUCAUGAGUGUCCUGCCUCAUUCUGGUGUCCUCUCAAUGAUCUCUCUGCUCUUCUUUUGCCAAUUUACUCCUCACCAGGCAGAGACCUUUGCUUAGAGUCUUGGAGUCUUUCUCAAGCAAGGUGGGUCUUGAGAGCUCAAGCCACCCAUUUUACAAUAACCGAGACAGAGACCCAUGUUGGAUGGAACUUGCCCCAAAUCAACAGUGGGAAACCAGUCUCAUGGGGAAAAAAAAUAGGAAUUGUGUUUACUUUAGUUUGCAUUUCUUUAAUUAUAG